GGUUGUGGGGUUCUGUACUUAAGGCAUGAACUGAAUAGCAAAUCUAAUCUGCCUACCAAUGCAAGUACUCACAAAUGCACUGCUCCCCUUUAUGAAGCUGCGGCGGUACGCAGCAGAGCCCCCCCUAAGCUGAGGUCCUCCAGCAGUGCUGCACCCAGAGCUCUCCAGGUUCAGUAACUCAUU
Molecule: long non-coding RNA, 183 nt
Organism: Oxyura jamaicensis (ruddy duck)
Lineage: Eukaryota; Metazoa; Chordata; Aves; Anseriformes; Anatidae
Exons: 3
Source: RefSeq, a predicted model, not a curated record